Molecule: ribosomal RNA, 404 nt
Filed under: Bacillota bacterium
Lineage: Bacteria; Bacillati; Bacillota
Description: Firmicutes bacterium partial 16S ribosomal RNA
Rfam family: Bacterial small subunit ribosomal RNA
Source: RNAcentral
UGGGGAAUAUUGUGCAAUGGGGGAAACCCUGACACAGCGACGCCGCGUGAGUGAAGAAGGUCUUCGGAUCGUAAAACUCUGUCAUCGGGGACGAAGAUGACGGUACCCGAAGAACAAGCCACGGCUAACUACGUGCCAGCAGCCGCGGUAAUACGUAGGGGGCGAGCGUUGUCCGGAAUUACUGGGCGUAAAGGGCGUGUAGGCGGCCUGUUAAGUCAGGGGUGAAAGACCGGGGCUCAACCCCGGGGGUGCCUCUGAAACUGGCGGGCUUGAGUGCUCUAGGGGGCAGUGGAAUUCCCGGUGUAGCAGUGAAAUGCGUAGAGAUCGGGAGGAACACCAGUGGCGGAGGCGGCUGCCUGGGGAGUCACUGACGCUGAGGCGCGAAAGCUAGGGGAGCAAACAGG